RNAcentral lists this ribosomal RNA (504 nucleotides) under uncultured bacterium. RNAcentral's name for it is "partial 16S ribosomal RNA". It matches the Rfam family "Bacterial small subunit ribosomal RNA", at positions 29 to 523 of the family's 1533-position model. The record is from RNAcentral.
AUUGAACGCUGGCGGCAGGCCUAACACAUGCAAGUCGGACGGUAGCACAGAGAGCUUGCUCUUGGGUGACGAGUGGCGGACGGGUGAGUAAUGUCUGGGGAUCUGCCCGAUAGAGGGGGAUAACCACUGGAAACGGUGGCUAAUACCGCAUAACGCCGCAAGACCAAAGAGGGGGACCUUCGGGCCUCUCACUAUCGGAUGAACCCAGAUGGGAUUAGCUAGUAGGCGGGGUAAUGGCCCACCUAGGCGACGAUCCCUAGCUGGUCUGAGAGGCAGACCAGCCACACUGGAACUGAGACACGGUCCAGACGCCUACGGGAGGCAGCAGGGGGGAAUAUUGCACAAUGGGCGCAAGCCUGAUGCAGCCAUGCCGCGUGUAUGAAGGAGGCCUUCGGGUUGUAAAGUACUUUCAGCGGGGAGGAAGGCGGUGCGGUUAAUAACCGUACCGAUUGACGUUACCCGCAGAAGAAGCACCGGCUAACUCCGUGCCAGCAGCCGCCGUAA